This 2098-nucleotide long non-coding RNA is filed under the name Homo sapiens (human). Its description in RNAcentral is "non-protein coding LINC02587:10". The record is from RNAcentral. Lineage: Eukaryota; Metazoa; Chordata; Mammalia; Primates; Hominidae.
AAACUAAAUCUUUUGUUCACCAGCUGCUCAGCUUUUCAGUCUGGGUCUGAGCUGAAACCUGCUGCAAGUCUGACGGUACCAAAUUACAUAUAUAUCUGUCAAAAUGAUGUAGGACCUAAAGUCUCUCUGUAAGUUGAUCCUUUUGACCCCAUGAUUAGGAGCUUCACAAUGUGGUACCACACCUGGAAACCUCCAGAACAAGAUCUCAAGGAAACACAGGAAAUUCCUGAAACAGCAAAACCCCCUAUGUGAAGACGUCUGUUAUUCCUUUGUGUAUCAGGAGCAUCACUGUUAAUUAACUGUUGAUACACUUAAAACAGCUUGGUUGGCAAUGUCCUUUUUGAAUAAAGAAGAGCCAGGUGUGUUUUUCAGGAUGAACUAGACAAUGCUGUCACAAGUUUACCUCUACAUCUUAUUGCCUUGGAAAAAUUUCCUGCAUAUCGUGGCACAAGAUGGUUGGCUCUCCAGGCAGCAGUUGGCGUUGUGAAUCAGUCAUCUCAGCAUGUGUCUCCAAGAUCCCACAGCAGGGGGAAAAAGAGGUGGAGGGUCACAUGCCUGGUGUUACAUACUUUGAGGCAGAGGUGGUAGGUGCCAUUUCUGCUCACAGCUCAUGGACCAGAACAAAGCCAUGCAUACCUGAGAGAGGACCAGAAAAUAUUCUGAAGCAGAUGGCUAUUUGGUGAGCAGUAAAUGUUUCUGUUACAACAGGUCUUGACAAACUUCAAAUGUACUCCUACUAGGCCUACUUCACACCACUAAACUCUGUACUUCCUGUUGCUUGAUGGCAUCUUAUGCUGAUGUUUUCUAUCAUAGUGUCCGGCACAAAACAAGAGCUCAAUACAUAUACUUAAUAGCGCAUUUAGAUCUAAGAGUUUCACUUUAUCAAAAGAUUUUAGUACCUACGUAGCUAUUGGGCCACAUCAGGAAAAUGUAACUGCUUCUACAACUGCAAAGAAAAUUUAACUAAUUGUAUGCUCAUCCCAGCUUCAGGUUUUUGUUUUGUUUUGUUUGCUAGCUUCUUUUUAUUUCAUAAUUUUUGCUUUGUUUUCUGCCCUUGAGCAGAGGUUCAUUUCUAGUUUUCACUGGAAUUAGAACAACAGUUGUGUCCAUAUGCAAUAACAGUGUUUCAAAUUCUUUGGGGAUUUGCCCACAGUGUCUGCAGUCAUAUUGUGACACCAGUUGUGAUGCCAGUCUCUGUAAAUCAGACUUAUUCCCAGUGAGACAUUAUAUAUUUUUGCAGCCAAUACGAUCUAUUUUAUAGCGAUUUAUAGCAUUGUCUCUGAAAAGGAUACUUUGAUUUGUGUCUUGUUUUUGUCAGUUUUCAACACUUUGAUUGUGGCCCAGGUUAAUUAAUAUUUUGUGUCUAGGUUUCCUCAUCUCUAAAAUAAAGAUGUUUAUUUCUAUAGCUUCAUGUUGACAAUUAAAUUAUAUAAUUUAUGUUACUCAACUAGCAAGUAAAUUGAUGUACAGUGUAUUUAUAAAUGAUAGAUACUAUCUUUAUGUUAAUUUUUAUUAUUGUCAUCAUUAUCAUCAAUUUUCAGGUCCGUGUUCUGACUAAAAGGAAGCCACACUCUGUCGAAAACAAGCUUUGUAAGAAAAUUUUGAAGUAUUUACUUAUAUCUAACCAUUCAUUCCACCUUUUCUCCCAAAUAACACUCUAAUAUCUUGAGACAUCUUGUCUAGGGCCAGAUUUCAUAAAUGCUUGUGAGGCAGGAGAAUAAGUUCCAGAGGCAGUUCACACUGCCUAAAGCCAAUUCACACUGACUUCCUAUAACUAAAUCUAAAGGAAAAUCUCAACUUUCCUCGCCCAAGUAACAAAAGAAUCAGAGGUUAUACUCCCUUUGCAACCUGCCCCUUUUCUGCCUGGCAGAUGAAAAAUGAAAAGUACCUAUGACUGGUCCCCUCCCACGACCAGCCAGACUGGUCACGGAUCACUACUUCAUUUACAUAGGGCGUAAACCGAGUAACCAAUGGGAAACCUCUAGAGGGUAUUUAAACCCCAGAAAAUUCUGUAACCGGUGGUCUCCAGCAGGUUGCUCAAUCUUGCUGCCACUCUGUGGGAUGUACUUUUGUUUCAAUAAAUCUGUGCUCUUCCUUC